GAUGAACGCUGACAGAAUGCUUAACACAUGCAAGUCGAUGGGGAAGUGGUGCUUGCACCAUGGUAACCAUGGCGGACGGGUGGGUAACGCGUAAGGAACUUACCUGCGGGACCGGGAUAACAGCAGGAAACUGCUGACAAGACCGGAUAAGGUCAUUAAGCUGCAUAGCUUAGUGAUGAAAGGAGACGCCUGCGGAGAGCCUUGCGUCCUAUUAGCUAGUUGGAGGGGUAACGGCCCACCAAGGCGAAGAUAGGUAGCCGGCCUGAGAGGGUGGACGGCCACAAGGGGACUGAGAUACGGCCCUUACUCCUACGGGAGGCAGCAGUGGGGAAUAUUGGACAAUGGGGGCAACCCUGAUCCAGCAAUUCUGUGUGCACGAAGACGGUUUUCGGAUUGUAAAGGGCUUUCAGCAGGGAAGAAGGAAGUGACGGUACCUGCAGAAGAAGCGACGGCUAAAUACGUG
This 463-nucleotide ribosomal RNA is filed under the name uncultured bacterium. Its description in RNAcentral is "partial 16S ribosomal RNA". It matches the Rfam family "Bacterial small subunit ribosomal RNA", at positions 28 to 507 of the family's 1533-position model. The record is from RNAcentral.